This 473-nucleotide ribosomal RNA is filed under the name uncultured bacterium. RNAcentral describes it as "partial 16S ribosomal RNA". It matches the Rfam family "Bacterial small subunit ribosomal RNA", at positions 28 to 507 of the family's 1533-position model. The record is from RNAcentral.
GAUAAACGCUGGCGGCGCACAUAAGACAUGCAAGUUGAACGGACUUAAUCGAAAUAUUUAUAUUUUGAAGCGGUUAGUGGCGGACUGGUGAGUAACGCGUAAGGAACCUGCCUAUUAGAGGGGAAUAACAGUGAGAAAUCAUUGCUAAUACCGCAUAUGCCAUAGAUAUCACAUGAUAACAGUGGGAAAGGAGCAAUCCGCUAAUAGAUGGCCUUGCGUCUGAUUAGAUAGUUGGUGGGGUAACGGCCUACCAAGUCGACGAUCAGUAGCCGGACUGAGAGGUUGAACGGCCACAUUGAGACUGAGAUACGGCCCAGACUCCUACAGGAGGCAGCAGUCGGGAAUAUUGCGAAAUGGAAGAAACUCUGACGAAGUGGCGACGCGUAUAGGAAGAAGGUUUGCGGAUUGUAAACUAUUAUCGUUAGGGAAGAGAAAGGACAGUACCUAAGGAGGAAGCUCCGGCUAACUACGUG